UACGUAGGGUGCGAGCGUUGUCCGGAUUUAUUGGGCGUAAAGAGCUCGUAGGCGGUUUGUCGCGUCGGCCGUGAAAUCUCCACGCUUAACGUGGAGCGUGCGGUCGAUACGGGCAGACUAGAGUUCGGUAGGGGAGACUGGAAUUCCUGGUGUAGCGGUGAAAUGCGCAGAUAUCAGGAGGAACACCGGUGGCGAAGGCGGGUCUCUGGGCCGAUACUGACGCUGAGGAGCGAAAGCGUGGGGAGCGAACAGG
Molecule: ribosomal RNA, 253 nt
Filed under: uncultured bacterium
Lineage: Bacteria
Description: partial 16S ribosomal RNA
Rfam family: Bacterial small subunit ribosomal RNA
Source: RNAcentral